AACGAACGUUAGCGGCGCGCCUAACACAUGCAAGUCGUGCGAGAAAGGGCUUCGGCCCCGGUAAAGCGGCGCACGGGUGAGUAACACGUAGGUAAUCUGCCCUCUGGUGGUGGAUAACCUUCCGAAAGGAAGGCUAAUACAGCAUAAGACCACGGUUUCGCAAGAGACUGGGGUAAAAGCGGGCCUCUUCAUGAAAGCUCGCUCCGGGGGAUGAGCCUGCGGCCCAUCAGCUAGUUGGUAGGGUAAUGGCCUACCAAGGCGAAGACGGGUAGCUGGUCUGAGAGGAUGAUCAGCCACACUGGAACUGAGACACGGUCCAGACUCCUACGGGAGCAGCAGUGGGGAAUCUUGCGCAAUGGGCGAAAGCCUGACGCAGCGACGCCGCGUGA
Molecule: ribosomal RNA, 389 nt
Filed under: uncultured bacterium
Lineage: Bacteria
Description: bacterial SSU rRNA
Rfam family: Bacterial small subunit ribosomal RNA
Source: RNAcentral